CGGGGAUUGACUCGCUACUGAAUCUUUGAUGUGUCAUCGAAGAUAACGUAAAGGAAAAUAAUGAUAUUACUUUACUAUAAGUGUCGUCCAAAGACUCGUGCCAGAAGACUCGGUAAGGCGAGAGACGCAAACGUUAUUCGUCUUGAUCAGGCGUAAAGGGUGUGUAGGCUGCUUUAAGUAUUUAUGUUAAAGUUUAUCAUUUUAAAUUAGAAGGCUAAAGUGCUAAUAUAAAUCAAUUAAAGCUAGAAUCUAAAAGAGGUUAAAACAAUGUUUAAGGUAGGAGUACUAACCGAAAAUAUUAAAUAGAGUGCAAACGGCGAAGGCAUUUAACCACUAAAGAUUGACGCUGAGAAACGAAAGUGAGGACAGAAAAAAGGAUUAGAGACCCUUGUAUUCCUCACCGUCAACGAUGAAUGGCAGUUACUAGAAAGAAAUUAACUAGAGACGAUGUUAACACGAAAACCAUUCCGCCUUGUGAGUACGACUGCAAAGUCGAAAACAAAAAAAUUAGUCGGUUUCGGAGCAAACGAAGUGAAGCAUGUUAUUUAAGA
RNAcentral lists this ribosomal RNA (551 nucleotides) under Hymenochaete nanospora. Its description in RNAcentral is "SSU rRNA". It matches the Rfam family "Bacterial small subunit ribosomal RNA", at positions 412 to 951 of the family's 1533-position model. The record is from RNAcentral. Lineage: Eukaryota; Fungi; Basidiomycota; Agaricomycetes; Hymenochaetales; Hymenochaetaceae.